UACGUAGGGUGCAAGCGUUGUCCGGAAUUAUUGGGCGUAAAGGGCUCGUAGGCGGUCCAUCGCGUCGGGAGUGAAAAGCUGGGGCUCAACCCCAGUCCUGCUUCCGAUACGGGUGGACUAGAGGUAUGCAGGGGAGAACGGAAUUCCUGGUGUAGCGGUGAAAUGCGCAGAUAUCAGGAGGAACACCGAUGGCGAAGGCAGCUCGCUGGGACGGUACUGACGCUGAGGCGCGAAAGCGUGGGGAGCGAACAGG
This 253-nucleotide ribosomal RNA is filed under the name uncultured bacterium. Its description in RNAcentral is "partial 16S ribosomal RNA". It matches the Rfam family "Bacterial small subunit ribosomal RNA", at positions 524 to 776 of the family's 1533-position model. The record is from RNAcentral.